GUCCAGGAAAAAGGCAAUUACAUCCCCAAGAAAUGUGGCCAGUCAGGGAGCGUGAGAGCUUGUGCUGCUCUUGGGGGCCACAGAGACCCACCUGGCUGGUUCUGGAUGAGACAAAGGCUGCAGACUGACACACCUAUGCAACUCUCCUCCUGCCCAGAAAAGCGCAAACACUUCACUGAACUAACUCACCUGAUUGAAUUUCACUUCCUGGUGCAGGCGCAUUGUACCAACCCUCUCUACUUCAGCCUACCAGGAGGGAGGAAGGCCACCGUCUUUCCUUCUCCUUCCAUGUCAUCCUCAGCGUCGGUGCUUGUGCAGUACAGAGGGCCCAGGGCUUCAUUUAGCACAAGUUCAGACAUGAAACCGUUAAGAAUUCCAGCGUAGCCGCAGCCCAGCACUGAACCCAAUGCCUGCUCCUCUGACUGUCUACCUUGGCUGGUUCCUGUGUCACUGGAAGGAGGAAGGAACCCCUCCCCCGUCACCACGGUUGUUCUGUUUUGGGGCCUGGCACCAUCACCCAACAACUAUUUGCUGAAUAAACGCAUUGUUCACCCACUGAGUAUUUGCUGAGCACCUACUGGCAGGGCGCCCUGAGGGCGCAGAGAUACAGCUGAGGACAGCGCAGCUUCUAACCUUGCCAUCCCCAAGGUGCGCGGAGC
Molecule: long non-coding RNA, 659 nt
Filed under: Homo sapiens (human)
Lineage: Eukaryota; Metazoa; Chordata; Mammalia; Primates; Hominidae
Description: HSALNT0161793
Source: RNAcentral